UACGGGAGGAGCAAGCGUUGUUCGGAUUUACUGGGCGUAAAGGGCGCGUAGGCGGCCACCGCAAGUCGGUUGUGAAAUCUCUGGGCUUAACCCAGAAAGGUCAACCGAUACUGCGGGGCUAGAGUGCAGAAGGGGCAACUGGAAUUCCGGGUGUAGUGGUGGAAUACGUAGAUAUCCGGAGGAACACCAGUGGCGAAGGCGGCUUCCUGGACCGGUUCUGACACUGAGGAGCGAAAGCGUGGGGAGCGAUCCGG
RNAcentral lists this ribosomal RNA (254 nucleotides) under uncultured prokaryote. RNAcentral describes it as "partial 16S ribosomal RNA". It matches the Rfam family "Bacterial small subunit ribosomal RNA", at positions 524 to 776 of the family's 1533-position model. The record is from RNAcentral.